Molecule: ribosomal RNA, 484 nt
Filed under: uncultured bacterium
Lineage: Bacteria
Description: partial 16S ribosomal RNA
Rfam family: Bacterial small subunit ribosomal RNA
Source: RNAcentral
AGUGAACGCUGGUGGCGUGCUUAACACAUGCAAGUCGAACGAGAACGGAUUAUAGCUUGCUAUAAUUGUCAGCUAAGUGGCGCACGGGUGAGUAAUGUAUAGGUAAUAUGCCUCUUACUAAGGGAUAACAAAUGGAAACGUUUGCUAAUACCUUAUACUCCUUAUUAACAGAAGUUAAUAAGGGAAAGAUUUAUUGGUAAGAGAUUAGCCUGUAUUGUAUCAGUUAGUUGGUGGGGUAAUGGCUUACCAAGACUAUGACACAUAACUGGUUUGAGAGGAUGAUCAGUCACACUGGAACUGAGACACGGUCCAGACUCCUACGGGAGGCAGCAGUGGGGAAUAUUGCACAAUGGACGAAAGUCUGAUGCAGCAACGCCGCGUGGAGGAUGACACAUUUCGGUGCGUAAACUCCUUUUAUAUGAGAAGAUAAUGACGGUAUUAUAUGAAUAAGCACCGGCUAACUCCGUGCCAGCCGCCGCGAUAA